Molecule: long non-coding RNA, 545 nt
Filed under: Ursus maritimus (polar bear)
Lineage: Eukaryota; Metazoa; Chordata; Mammalia; Carnivora; Ursidae
Description: lncRNA (ENSUMAG00000001967.1)
Source: RNAcentral
CCCUGCGCCGCCCCCCUGCGUCCGGGGACCGCGGCGAGGAAGGACCCUGCGCGCACGUCGCACUCACCCGAGCCCGCCGGUCCGCACAGCGCUGGCUCAGGCGGGGAGAAGUGCAGCAGCCCUGCCCUCGCCCUGCUCGUCACGACUCCCCUGCAGGGCGCCGGCUUCCGAGCGCCCCUCUGGGCGGCCCACGUGACCUAGACCUUUGGCGCCAAAGUGGACUUUGGCAUCUGAAGAGGCACAGCUAGUGAACCUAUGCACAAAAUCUGUUCCGAAGUCACCCUGCCAGAGAGGAGAUCAUCUGUGCUCCCAACCAGACUGUGCAGUGUAUCUGGACAGCACAGAAGAGUGUGCCCUCCCUGACCUAUGGCCAGAGCUUUGCAGUGUGCCUUAGAUUCCAAUUAAGAAGACACGGAGAGGAGGAGAGGAGCCCGUUUACACGGUGCCAGCAGGAAUGUCAACACGGAUGCAAGGAAGGACUCAAUCCAACGAGCAGUCCAAGGAGACUGAGAGCGGUCCUGUGGCCUGUGGUACACACUGAGUGA